Long non-coding RNA from Trichomycterus rosablanca, 250 nucleotides. RefSeq lists it as uncharacterized. Lineage: Eukaryota; Metazoa; Chordata; Actinopteri; Siluriformes; Trichomycteridae. The record is from RefSeq and is a predicted model, not a curated record. The transcript has 3 exons.
UUACCAAAAUAAGCUAUUUGUACAUGAUAUUUAGUUAUCUGGUGAUAUUUAGUUGAUAACGCCAUCAGUUGAAUUUACCGUGAGGCAUGUGUAAGUAGCCUACUGAAGUGGACAGAGCCCCAAAACAGUGCAGGGAAGAAAACUUUAGUCCAAGAUGUGGAUUCCAGCAAAUGUAAAACAAAGCACUUGCACAUUUUUAUGUUUUUGUUCAGAACAGCAGUGUUUACAAAAAUAUGAAUUUAUUUAUUUA